UUCGGACCAGGCUUCAUUCCCCU
Molecule: microRNA, 23 nt
Filed under: Prunus persica (peach)
Lineage: Eukaryota; Viridiplantae; Streptophyta; Magnoliopsida; Rosales; Rosaceae
Description: microRNA miRNA_472
Source: RNAcentral